AGAUAAUUACACAUUGAGAUCACUGCUAUGAAGGAGUUAAGCUGAGGAGAUAGAGCCUUCCCUGGGGGAGAUCACUCUUCACAGGAAGAUCAGGAACGUUCUCUGGAAGAUGACACUUGAGCUGAGAUCUGAAAGUCGAGCAAAGCAGAAGAGGUAGAGGUACUGGCUUGUUUAAGGAACUGAAAUAAGGCCAAUGUGGCUGGGGCAUAGUGAGCAGGGUUGAGUGGUAUGAAAUGAAGUUGGAAAAAGACCCCAGUAUGAAGGACCUCACCAGGGUGCAGUAAGGAGUUUAGAUUUUACUCUGAGCUAAAAGUCUUUGAAAUGUUUUAUGCAGGGGAGUUGGCUUGGUCAGAAUAAAAUUUUAAGGCAUUCGCUCUAGUCCCUGCUGAGAGUGGAUUAAAGAGCAGGAGAUCAGGAGACAGAUGAAGGAGUUAUUCCAGGAUUCUAGGCCAGAGGUGAUGAUUGCUCAGACUUAGGGUAGGAGAGCAAAGGCGGGGAUGGAGACAAGUAGGCAUGUCAGAGAUGUCGUUUGGAGGUCAAGUUAAAAGGCCUUGGUGAUAGACUGAAUGUAUGUGAAGUUAGGGGGAAGUAAUGGAAAUAGAGUAAUCAAGGAUGACCUUGAUGUCUUGGCUUGAGCCCCAAGGUAGAAAUUGGUGGUAUUGAUUGAAUUGUUGAAGGUUUGGUGAGGAAGCAUUUGGGGUUGGGUUCUGGGUGGUGGGGUGGGGAGAGACUAGGAAUCAAGAGUUCUAUUUUGGCUAGAAAUUUUUAUUAGACAUCUAAGAGAAGCUGUCAAGAUUCAGUAAAUAACGAAAUGACAGAAAAGGAAACUGAGGCGGAAAAAUAGGUAUACAGGUGCCAAGCGGUAGAACCGCUCCAGCCCGUCUGACUCAGGCACUAAGCUGAGCAGCCUCUUCUCCAGUAUGUGCGAACUAGCAAUUAUUUCUUUCAGGUAUAAUUGGAAAAUAAGUACAAAAGAUUUGGGAAGAGAAAAGUAAAGGAGACGGAAAAGAAGAACAGUUUUUGUUCUUUUAAGCCUCCCCCCCCCCCCCCCGCCCCCAACACCAUCUUAAGAGAAAGAAAGAAAAAAGAAGGAAAGAAUGAUUUGAUUGCCUAAAAAAGGAUAAAACAAGAUCUGCUAUGUGAAAAAGAUGUAUACAUUC
This 1160-nucleotide long non-coding RNA is filed under the name Felis catus (domestic cat). RNAcentral describes it as "lncRNA (ENSFCAG00000049618.1)". Lineage: Eukaryota; Metazoa; Chordata; Mammalia; Carnivora; Felidae. The record is from RNAcentral.